AUGGAAAGGUUUUCGAUGAAGACAAACUCUGAAGGUUCUCAAGUCAAAGCGUACAUGAACGAUGGUUGGCAGCUCAUAUUCCCCUCCAGAUUUUUAUGUAAAGUGAAGAAUGGCCGGAUUGAUAGCGAUGAUCAGUGCAGUGCGAGACAAGUACACGAUCAAAGGUUUAGACCGAGCUUGAAGCAACAAAAGAAGAAGAAGAAGAAGAAGAAGAAGAAGACGAAGAAGAACAAGAUGAUGAUGAUGAUGAUGAUGAUGAUGAUGAUGAUGAAGAAGAAGAAGAAGAAGAAGAAGAAGAAAGUCCAUUUAGACUUUGAACAGGUAGUGGUUGGGUUGUUUGAUCCUGUCUUCUACAGCUAA
Molecule: ribosomal RNA, 360 nt
Filed under: Triticum aestivum (bread wheat)
Lineage: Eukaryota; Viridiplantae; Streptophyta; Magnoliopsida; Poales; Poaceae
Description: partial small subunit ribosomal RNA
Source: RNAcentral